GGAGAGGUGUCUGAGUGGUUGAAAGAGGCAGUCUUGAAAACUGCUGUGGGUUUUAUAUCCACCGGGGGUUCAAAUCCCUCCCUCUCCGCCA
RNAcentral lists this transfer RNA (91 nucleotides) under Candidatus Omnitrophica bacterium 4484_213. RNAcentral describes it as "tRNA-Ser". It matches the Rfam family "tRNA". Rfam says of the family: Transfer RNA (tRNA) molecules are approximately 80 nucleotides in length. Their secondary structure includes four short double-helical elements and three loops (D, anti-codon, and T loops). RNAcentral also lists the same sequence under 1 other name. Lineage: Bacteria; Pseudomonadati; Candidatus Omnitrophota. The record is from RNAcentral.